CAGUAGCCGCGGUAAAACGUAGGUGGCGAGCGUUGUCCGGAUUUAUUGGGCGUAAAGGGAGUGUAGGCGGUCUUUUAAGUCUGAUGUGAAAGCCCACGGCUCAACCGUGGAGGGUCACUGGAAACUGGGAGACUUGAGUGCAGAAGAGGAGAGCGGAAUUCCAUAUGUAGCGGUGAAAUGCGUAGAUGUAUGGAGGAACACCAGUGGCGAAGGCGGCUCUCUGGUCUGUAACUGACGCUGAGGCUCGAAAGCGUGGGGAGCAAACAGGAUUAGAUACCCGGGUAGUCCCUGUCUCUUAUAC
RNAcentral lists this ribosomal RNA (301 nucleotides) under uncultured bacterium. RNAcentral's name for it is "partial 16S ribosomal RNA". It matches the Rfam family "Bacterial small subunit ribosomal RNA", at positions 509 to 807 of the family's 1533-position model. The record is from RNAcentral.